UACGUAGGGGGCGAGCGUUAUCCGGAUUCAUUGGGCGUAAAGCGCGCGUAGGCGGCCUGUUAGGUCGGGGGUCAAAUACCGGGGCUCAACCCCGGUCCGCCCCCGAUACCGGCAGGCUUGAGUCUGGUAGGGGAAGGCGGAAUUCCCAGUGUAGCGGUGGAAUGCGCAGAUAUUGGGAAGAACACCAGUGGCGAAGGCGGCUCUCUGGUCUGUAACUGACGCUGAGGCUCGAAAGCAUGGGUAGCGAACAGG
RNAcentral lists this ribosomal RNA (252 nucleotides) under uncultured Coriobacteriaceae bacterium. RNAcentral's name for it is "partial 16S ribosomal RNA". It matches the Rfam family "Bacterial small subunit ribosomal RNA", at positions 524 to 776 of the family's 1533-position model. The record is from RNAcentral. Lineage: Bacteria; Bacillati; Actinomycetota; Coriobacteriia; Coriobacteriales; Coriobacteriaceae.